Molecule: long non-coding RNA, 375 nt
Organism: Octopus bimaculoides (California two-spot octopus)
Lineage: Eukaryota; Metazoa; Mollusca; Cephalopoda; Octopoda; Octopodidae
Source: RefSeq, a predicted model, not a curated record
UUGUAACACUUUAACAGCUGAAAGUAAACAGUUGUAAACAGAUAAAAAUACUUCUUAAUGUUGUUAUUCAACAGAAAAUAAGGAGCUGGCUCUUAUUUCUUUCUUGACUAAGAGAAAAGUCAUGAAUUUAAACUGGUGGUCCACACUGACGAAGCUCAAGGUUGAAUAACCAAAAGCAGAAACCUGCAAUUUACAUGAUGAAGGUCGAUAAGUUAUCAACGAUUCCAGAAGAGAUCAAUGGAUAUAAGAAAUGUGCCGACCCAUGGUUUAGAUAGUGUUAGUCCUACAUAACUGCAGCUGGAAACAGCUACCAAAAAUCCUUCAAUUUAUAAUAUACAGUCUUAAAGAAAAUAAAGAUGCUAAAGUAUUAUCAAA